Molecule: ribosomal RNA, 254 nt
Filed under: uncultured bacterium
Lineage: Bacteria
Description: partial 16S ribosomal RNA
Rfam family: Bacterial small subunit ribosomal RNA
Source: RNAcentral
CACGUAGGGGGCAAGCGUUGUCCGGAUUUAUUGGGCGUAAAGAGCUCGUAGGCGGUUCGCUAAGUCGGGUGUGAAACCUCCAGGCUCAACCUGGAGACGCCACCUGAUACUGGUGUGACUCGAGUCCGGUAGGGGAGCGUGGAAUUCCUGGUGGAGCGGUGAAAUGCGCAGAUAUCAGGAGGAACACCGGUGGCGAAGGCGGUUCUCUGGGCCUGUACUGACGCUGAGGAACGAAAGCGUGGGGAGCGAACAGG